AGCUCCAAUAGCGUAUAUUAAAGUUGUUGCAGUUAAAAAGCUCGUAGUUGGAUUUCUGGUGGUAGCGUUGGGCCGGCCCUAAGGGUCUGUGCUCAAAUGUUUACUGCCAUCCUUCAGUGGAUCUUGUCUGGCAUUCAGUUGUCGGGCUUGGAAAGCUGAUCGUUUACUGUGAAAAAAUUAGAGUGUUCAAAGCAGGCUUAUGCCGUUGAAUACAUUAGCAUGGAAUAAUAAGAUAGGACCCUGGUACUAUUUUGUUGGUUUGCGUACCUAGGUAAUGAUUAAUAGGGACAGUUGGGGGUAUUCGUAUUCCGUUGUCAGAGGUGAAAUUCUUGGAUUUACGGAAGACGAACUACUGCGAAAGCAUUUACCAAGGAUGUUUUCAUUA
This 385-nucleotide ribosomal RNA is filed under the name uncultured bolidophyte. RNAcentral describes it as "SSU rRNA". It matches the Rfam family "Eukaryotic small subunit ribosomal RNA", at positions 587 to 975 of the family's 1831-position model. Lineage: Eukaryota; Bolidophyceae. The record is from RNAcentral.